This 254-nucleotide ribosomal RNA is filed under the name uncultured bacterium. RNAcentral's name for it is "partial 16S ribosomal RNA". It matches the Rfam family "Bacterial small subunit ribosomal RNA", at positions 524 to 776 of the family's 1533-position model. The record is from RNAcentral.
CACGUAGGGGGCAAGCGUUGUCCGGAUUUAUUGGGCGUAAAGAGCUCGUAGGCGGUUCGGCAAGUCGGGUGUGAAACCCCCAGGCUCAACCUGGGGACGCCACCCGAUACUGCUGUGACUUGAGUCCGGUAGGGGAGCGUGGAAUUCCUGGUGUAGCGGUGAAAUGCGCAGAUAUCAGGAGGAACACCGGUGGCGAAGGCGCUGCUCUGGGCCGGUACUGACGCUGAGGAGCGAAAGCGUGGGUAGCAAACAGG